RNAcentral lists this ribosomal RNA (297 nucleotides) under uncultured soil bacterium. RNAcentral's name for it is "partial 16S ribosomal RNA". It matches the Rfam family "Bacterial small subunit ribosomal RNA", at positions 26 to 325 of the family's 1533-position model. The record is from RNAcentral.
AGAUUGAACGCUGGCGGCAGGCCUAACACAUGCAAGUCGAGCGGUAGAGAGGUGCUUGCAUCUCUUGAGAGCGGCGGACGGGUGAGUAAUGCCUAGGAAUCUGCCUAGUGGUGGGGGAUAACGUUCGGAAACGGACGCUAAUACCGCAUACGUCCUACGGGAGAAAGCGGGGGACCUUCGGGCCUCGCGCCAUUAGAUGAGCCUAGGUCGGAUUAGCUAGUUGGUGAGGUAAUGGCUCACCAAGGCGACGAUCCGUAACUGGUCUGAGAGGAUGAUCAGUCACACUGGAACUGACGA